ACCAGGCCUUGACAUGCAGAGAACUUUCCAGAGAUGGAUUGGUGCCUUCGGGAACUCUGACACAGGUGCUGCAUGGCUGUCGUCAGCUCGUGUCGUGAGAUGUUCGGGUUAAGUCCCCGUUAACGAGCGCAACCCUUGUCCUUAGUUACCAGCACGUUAUGGUGGGCACUCUAAGGAGACUGCCGGUGACAAACCGGAGGAAGGUGGGGAUGACAUCAAGUCAUCAUGGCCCUUACGGCCUGGGCUACACACGUGCUACAAUGGUCGGUACAAAGGGUUGCCAAGCCGCGAGGUGGAGCUAAUCCCAUAAAACCGAUCGUAGUCCGGAUCGCAGUCUGCAACUCGACUGCGUGAAGUCGGAAUCGCUAGUAAUCGUGAAUCAGAAUGUCACGGUGAAUACGUUCCCGGGCCUU
RNAcentral lists this ribosomal RNA (413 nucleotides) under uncultured Pseudomonas sp. Its description in RNAcentral is "bacterial SSU rRNA". It matches the Rfam family "Bacterial small subunit ribosomal RNA", at positions 973 to 1382 of the family's 1533-position model. The record is from RNAcentral. Lineage: Bacteria; Pseudomonadati; Pseudomonadota; Gammaproteobacteria; Pseudomonadales; Pseudomonadaceae.